RNAcentral lists this non-coding RNA (22 nucleotides) under Rattus norvegicus (Norway rat). Lineage: Eukaryota; Metazoa; Chordata; Mammalia; Rodentia; Muridae. The record is from RNAcentral.
AUUCAACCUACAAGGACUUCUU